Molecule: non-coding RNA, 25 nt
Filed under: Rattus norvegicus (Norway rat)
Lineage: Eukaryota; Metazoa; Chordata; Mammalia; Rodentia; Muridae
Source: RNAcentral
GGGUUCACAUGGCUUAAGCGCGUGA